This 76-nucleotide transfer RNA is filed under the name Mycobacteroides saopaulense. Its description in RNAcentral is "tRNA-Ser". It matches the Rfam family "tRNA". From Rfam's summary of the family: Transfer RNA (tRNA) molecules are approximately 80 nucleotides in length. Their secondary structure includes four short double-helical elements and three loops (D, anti-codon, and T loops). Further hydrogen bonds mediate the characteristic L-shaped molecular structure. tRNAs have two regions of fundamental functional importance: the anti-codon, which is responsible for specific mRNA codon recognition, and the 3' end, to which the tRNAs corresponding amino acid is attached (by aminoacyl-tRNA synthetases). tRNAs cope with the degeneracy of the genetic code in two manners: having more than one tRNA (with a specific anti-codon) for a particular amino acid; and 'wobble' base-pairing, i.e. permitting non-standard base-pairing at the 3rd anti-codon position. Lineage: Bacteria; Bacillati; Actinomycetota; Actinomycetes; Mycobacteriales; Mycobacteriaceae. The record is from RNAcentral.
GCCCUUGUAGCUCAACGGACAGAGCGGCGAGUUACUACCUACCGCGGUGCCGGUUCGAUUCCUGCCGGAGGCUCAA